AGUAUGUGGUCUGGUCAACAACCAGUAGACUCUUUAUAGGACAAUAUAAUAUACCCAGCAGAUAAGAAGCCGUGAGGUUGCUCCCUUGUGCCUGAUAUAUAAAGGUGGUAUGAGGCUAAGGGUCCAGUCUCAGUGUGGUGUCAGCACUCAUCACAUCAGGGUCACUUUCUCUCUCGCACUACAAAAGUAAGAUGUAAUAAUUUUCAAUAUUCUAGUUGCAGGGCACAAAUGCCUUGAUAAAGCCUGAGCGUCGGGUCCGACACCAGCAAGACCCGCCCGUUUGAAUUUUUUUUUGAAGACCCUACAACCCAUGGAAUGGUCUUCUUCCAAGGGGACCAUUCCAUGGUCCAAGUACCGGUGAUCUUAACCCAUUAACAAACGCAUAUAUCCCUACUAUACGUAUAUUCCGAAAAAUAUAUAUAUGAGAAGGUAAAGGUAAUCAAUAAUCUAGCUGAGAAAAAGUGAUGAUUCUUGUCACUUGACAGUGCUGAGGAAGCUGACGCUGGUGGCUGUGCUGACGGCGCUGACGGCGGUGAUGGCGGCGAAAGUAACGAAAAAUGACCAAGCUGGAAAUGUCCAAACUGUCAGUCACAGUGUACACAUCGAGGGCACUGACACGGAUGAAUCUAAAAUGCCUGACGGUGAAGACAGCGAUGUUACCAUUAAAUAUAGCGUCAAAUCCGAUAAAGUGAGCACUAGACAGCGCUAGAAGACGCCGUCAGUUACAUCCAAGAACUUCAUAAUAUAGAACAUGAAUAACAUGUUCUCGUAGCACGUAAUACAGAUUAUAAUAAGUUCCUGACCAGA
This is a non-coding RNA of Procambarus clarkii (red swamp crayfish), 807 nucleotides long. Lineage: Eukaryota; Metazoa; Arthropoda; Malacostraca; Decapoda; Cambaridae. The record is from RefSeq and is a predicted model, not a curated record.